Long non-coding RNA from Balaenoptera ricei (Rice's whale), 940 nucleotides. RefSeq lists it as uncharacterized. The record is from RefSeq and is a predicted model, not a curated record. The transcript is spliced from 7 exons. NCBI's taxonomy places the organism in Eukaryota, Metazoa, Chordata, Mammalia, Artiodactyla, Balaenopteridae.
GGCAGCCAGGCAGGGCUCCGGAGUAGACCUUUCCUUCUCGCUUCGUCAGCACCGAGAGUGCCCUCGUUGGGAACGGGGGCCUUAGCGGUCUCGUCAUUUACGAAGCGGAUGGGCUCCUGGACUCUGGGGCCUCGAACUGUUUCGAAGACUGAUGGGCAAAAGCCCCUGCAGCCCAGGGGCUGGCGGUCAGGGGGCUUGGCCGGGGCUGGAGUUUGGCCGUCGGAGCUCGGCUGGUCAAAGCUUGCCGCUGGUCCCCGGCUAUCCGCAGCUUCCAAAGAGGGGAUGAUUCCUUCACCUGGGUCCCAGAUUGAUGGAACAAAGCUGAAGAUGACUGUGGUUGACAAACAACAUGAAGAGAAAUAAACCUUACUUGACAAAGGAGCUGUUGUAGCCACAGGAUGGCAGAAACUCCAUCAUCAUGGUUCUUGAAUAAGAUGGCCUCCCCAUCUGUAAUGGUUGGUUGGACUGGAGUGGACACCUGACCCAGGCUAUGCCAAUCAGAAUUCCUUCCCUGGGAAUUUGGAAUUAACUUGGAGAUAGAAAGCAGCAAUGUGUGUGAUCUUAUGAUGAGUUCAUCGUGGAUGGAAAGACUACUGGACUGAGUAGCUAUCACUUCAUGACAUAUAAAUUUAAAAAGUGAUCUUCAUACCUGAAGAGUUUGAGAACCCAAACUGUUUUUCUGAUAAUUCAGCAUUUCAACUACCAUGUGGAGAUUGUCAAACAUCUCAAAUUUGCCUGUGUGGUGGAUUCCCAUAAGAUGGCCGGAUGCUCUCCAUUUACAGGAACACACAUGGUUGUGGCGACAACAGACAUCAUGUUAGCCCAGCCCCAACAGCAGCCUUUUAAGUCAAUUUCAGGCAUGAGAGAUCCCAGGUCUCUUUCCUCUUGGUUUCGACGAAUUAAAAUGUUAUCCCCUAAUAAACCUCAAUCCUAUACAUGA